UUAUAAGAGUGAAGAUAUAUUGGUGGAAAUAAUAGUUAUUGGUAUGACUGAAUUGUUGCAAGGAAGAGAGUGAUAAGGUGAAAGGAGAGAUUAUCGUUUUCCUAUGUGCUUAGACAAUGGAAAUAGUGACGAUACAUUGGAGGUAAUUAAUUGUGUGAUCCUAACGUGAACGCUCAAGCAACUAGUCACUCCCCGUGUUCGAAUUCCCCUAUAUGGGUUUAUUCUGGGAAGUUUCUUCCGAAAUAA
This 246-nucleotide long non-coding RNA is filed under the name Physcomitrium patens. RNAcentral describes it as "long non-coding RNA (PPAT_LNC011376)". The record is from RNAcentral. Lineage: Eukaryota; Viridiplantae; Streptophyta; Bryopsida; Funariales; Funariaceae.